This 243-nucleotide unclassified non-coding RNA is filed under the name Hevea brasiliensis (rubber tree). The record is from RNAcentral. Lineage: Eukaryota; Viridiplantae; Streptophyta; Magnoliopsida; Malpighiales; Euphorbiaceae.
AGAACACAAAAUCGAAAUGAUAAAAGCACCCCGAAGUGAGAGGAAAAUAUAGAAAGAAGAAAAAUGGCAAGCAUGAGAGGUAAAAGCUAUAUAUAAGAGUUAGAAUAGAGCAUUAAAUGCACAAUAUCAGAUCUUAUCCACCAAAACAACAGGGAAAGAAACGAGGUGACAGUUCAGUUUUCCAGGACAACUAAGAGGUAUGAUUGAGUGAGAUAGUUAUUCCUUCAAUUAACGAAAUCUUUU